RNAcentral lists this ribosomal RNA (188 nucleotides) under uncultured Methanolinea sp. Its description in RNAcentral is "partial 16S ribosomal RNA". It matches the Rfam family "Archaeal small subunit ribosomal RNA", at positions 1151 to 1338 of the family's 1478-position model. The record is from RNAcentral. Lineage: Archaea; Methanobacteriati; Methanobacteriota; Methanomicrobia; Methanomicrobiales; Methanoregulaceae.
AUGCCCCGAAUUAUCCGGGCUACACGCGGGCUACAAUGGUCAGGACAAUGGGUAUCGACACCGAGAGGUGGAGGCAAUCUCCUAAACCUGUCCUUAGUUCGGAUUGUGGGCUGCAACUCGCCCACAUGAAGCUGGAAUCCGUAGUAAUCGCGUUUCAAAAUAGCGCGGUGAAUAUGUCCCUGCUCCUU